UUAAGCGACUAAGCGUACACGGUGGAUGCCCUGGCAGUCAGAGGCGAUGAAGGGCGUGCUAAUCUGCGAUAAGCGCCGGUAAGGUGAUAUGAACCGUUAUAACCGGCGAUACCCGAAUGGGGAAACCCAGUGUGAUUCGUCACACUAUCAUUAACUGAAUCCAUAGGUUAAUGAGGCGAACCGGGGGAACUGAAACAUCUAAGUACCCCGAGGAAAAGAAAUCAACCGAGAUUCCCCCAGUAGCGGCGAGCGAACGGGGAGGAGCCCAGAGCCUGAAUCAGCAUGUGUGUUAGUGGAAGCGUCUGGAAAGGCGCGCGAUACAGGGUGACAGCCCCGUACACAAAAGCGCAUGUGCUGUGAGCUCGAUGAGUAGGGCGGGACACGUGGUAUCCUGUCUGAAUAUGGGGGGACCAUCCUCCAAGGCUAAAUACUCCUGACUGACCGAUAGUGAACCAGUACCGUGAGGGAAAGGCGAAAAGAACCCCGGCGAGGGGAGUGAAAAAGAACCUGAAACCGUGUACGUACAAGCAGUGGGAGCCCCACCACCAAAGCAUUCUCUGGUGUUGAAGGCCCUGCAAAGCAGCAUCGCGGUGGCGGAGCGUCGUUUGCGACGCCCAACACACAAAACAAGCGGUGAGUGCUUUGGGGUGGGGUGACUGCGUACCUUUUGUAUAAUGGGUCAGCGACUUAUAUUCUGUAGCAAGGUUAACCGAAUAGGGGAGCCGGAGGGAAACCGAGUCUUAAUUGGGCGUUAAGUUGCAGGGUAUAGACCCGAAACCCGGUGAUCUAGCCAUGGGCAGGUUGAAGGUUGGGUAACACUAACUGGAGGACCGAACCGACUAAUGUUGAAAAAUUAGCGGAUGACCUGUGGCUGGGGGUGAAAGGCCAAUCAAACCGGGAGAUAGCUGGUUCUCCCCGAAAGCUAUUUAGGUAGCGCCUCGUGAAUUCAUCUCCGGGGGUAGAGCACUGUUUCGGCUAGGGGGCCAUCCCGGCUUACCAACCCGAUGCAAACUGCGAAUACCGGAGAAUGUUAUCACGGGAGACACACGGCGGGUGCUAACGUCCGUCGUGAAGAGGGAAACAACCCAGACCGCCAGCUAAGGUCCCAAAGUCAUGGUUAAGUGGGAAACGAUGUGGGAAGGCCCAGACAGCCAGGAUGUUGGCUUAGAAGCAGCCAUCAUUUAAAGAAAGCGUAAUAGCUCACUGGUCGAGUCGGCCUGCGCGGAAGAUGUAACGGGGCUAAACCAUGCACCGAAGCUGCGGCAGCGACGCUGAUGCGUUGUUGGGUAGGGGAGCGUUCUGUAAGCCUGCGAAGGUGGCCUGUGAGGGUUGCUGGAGGUAUCAGAAGUGCGAAUGCUGACAUAAGUAACGAUAAAGCGGGUGAAAAGCCCGCUCGCCGGAAGACCAAGGGUUCCUGUCCAACGUUAAUCGGGGCAGGGUGAGUCGACCCCUAAGGCGAGGCCGAAAGGCGUAGUCGAUGGGAAACGGGUUAAUAUUCCCGUACUUGGUGUUACUGCGAAGGGGGGACGGAGAAGGCUAUGUUGGCCGGGCGACGGUUGUCCCGGUUUAAGCGUGUAGGUGUGUGUUCCAGGUAAAUCCGGUUCACUUUAACACUGAGGCGUGAUGACGAGGCACUACGGUGCUGAAGCAACAAAUGCCCUGCUUCCAGGAAAAGCCUCUAAGCAUCAGGUAACAUCAAAUCGUACCCCAAACCGACACAGGUGGUCAGGUAGAGAAUACCAAGGCGCUUGAGAGAACUCGGGUGAAGGAACUAGGCAAAAUGGUGCCGUAACUUCGGGAGAAGGCACGCUGACACGUAGGUGAAGUGAUUUACUCAUGGAGCUGAAGUCAGUCGAAGAUACCAGCUGGCUGCAACUGUUUAUUAAAAACACAGCACUGUGCAAACACGAAAGUGGACGUAUACGGUGUGACGCCUGCCCGGUGCCGGAAGGUUAAUUGAUGGGGUCAGCGCAAGCGAAGCUCCUGAUCGAAGCCCCGGUAAACGGCGGCCGUAACUAUAACGGUCCUAAGGUAGCGAAAUUCCUUGUCGGGUAAGUUCCGACCUGCACGAAUGGCGUAAUGAUGGCCAGGCUGUCUCCACCCGAGACUCAGUGAAAUUGAACUCGCUGUGAAGAUGCAGUGUACCCGCGGCAAGACGGAAAGACCCCGUGAACCUUUACUAUAGCUUGACACUGAACAUUGAGCCUUGAUGUGUAGGAUAGGUGGGAGGCUUUGAAGUGUGGACGCCAGUCUGCAUGGAGCCGACCUUGAAAUACCACCCUUUAAUGUUUGAUGUUCUAACGUGGACCCGUUACCCGGGUUGCGGACAGUGUCUGGUGGGUAGUUUGACUGGGGCGGUCUCCUCCUAAAGAGUAACGGAGGAGCACGAAGGUUGGCUAAUCCUGGUCGGACAUCAGGAGGUUAGUGCAAUGGCAUAAGCCAGCUUGACUGCGAGCGUGACGGCGCGAGCAGGUGCGAAAGCAGGUCAUAGUGAUCCGGUGGUUCUGAAUGGAAGGGCCAUCGCUCAACGGAUAAAAGGUACUCCGGGGAUAACAGGCUGAUACCGCCCAAGAGUUCAUAUCGACGGCGGUGUUUGGCACCUCGAUGUCGGCUCAUCACAUCCUGGGGCUGAAGUAGGUCCCAAGGGUAUGGCUGUUCGCCAUUUAAAGUGGUACGCGAGCUGGGUUUAGAACGUCGUGAGACAGUUCGGUCCCUAUCUGCCGUGGGCGCUGGAGAACUGAGGGGGGCUGCUCCUAGUACGAGAGGACCGGAGUGGACGCAUCACUGGUGUUCGGGUUGUCAUGCCAAUGGCACUGCCCGGUAGCUAAAUGCGGAAGAGAUAAGUGCUGAAAGCAUCUAAGCACGAAACUUGCCCCGAGAUGAGUUCUCCCUGAGACUUAGAGUCUCCUGAAGGAACGUUGAAGACGACGACGUUGAUAGGCCGGGUGUGUAAGCGCAGCGAUGCGUUGAGCUAACCGGUACUAAUGAACCGUGAGGCUUAACCU
This 3005-nucleotide ribosomal RNA is filed under the name Salmonella enterica subsp. enterica serovar Senftenberg. RNAcentral's name for it is "23S ribosomal RNA". It matches the Rfam family "Bacterial large subunit ribosomal RNA". Lineage: Bacteria; Pseudomonadati; Pseudomonadota; Gammaproteobacteria; Enterobacterales; Enterobacteriaceae. The record is from RNAcentral.